RNAcentral lists this ribosomal RNA (250 nucleotides) under uncultured bacterium. RNAcentral describes it as "partial 16S ribosomal RNA". It matches the Rfam family "Bacterial small subunit ribosomal RNA", at positions 524 to 776 of the family's 1533-position model. The record is from RNAcentral.
UACGAAGGGGGCUAGCGUUGCUCGGAAUUACUGGGCGUAAAGCGCGUGUAGGUGGUGGGACAAGUCUGCUGUGAAAGCGCCUGGCUUAACCGGCGAGGUCGGCGGAAACUGUCCGACUCGAGGACGGUAGAGGGGGUGGAAUUCCCGGUGUAGUGGUGAAAUGCGUAGAGAUCGGGAGGAACACCUGUGGCGAAGGCGGCCCCCUGGGCCGGCCCUGACACUGAGACGCGAAGGCGUGGGAGCGAACGGG